Molecule: long non-coding RNA, 428 nt
Filed under: Ananas comosus (pineapple)
Lineage: Eukaryota; Viridiplantae; Streptophyta; Magnoliopsida; Poales; Bromeliaceae
Description: long non-coding RNA (ACOM_LNC044598)
Source: RNAcentral
UUUGCACAGGUUGCAAAGUUGAGGGGCUUUUUUGAAUUUUGUUACACUAGAGGGCCUAUAUGGCCAUUUCACUUCCUUUUCUCCCUCAUUUCACUCUCCCAUUUAUUUUUAGAGAGAGAAGAAGAAGAAGGAGGAGAAGAAAGGAGAAGGAGAGCUUGUUUGAGGACUUGGAGCUUCACCCUCACCCUCUCUUCUUCCUUUUGGUGGGUUGGAGCUUGCUUUUGGAGCUUGGUGGUGGACCAAUCUUCAACCCUAGAGGACUUAGAGCUUGGAUUGAAGCUUCCAAGAGGUUGGUAACAAGUUUCUUUCAUUAGAUUCUUGUUUUGAUGGUUUCUUUGAGAUGAAACCCUAGAAUGAGGUUUUAGGGUUGAUUUUGGGCAUUUUGGAUUUAGGGCUUUUGGAGCUCAAUCUCUUGGAUUAGAACCUUC